AUACGUAGGGGGCGAGCGUUGUCCCGAAUGAUUGGGCGUAAACGGCGCGUAGGCGGCCCGGUAAGUCUGGAGUGAAAGUCCUGUUUUUAAGAUGGGAAUUGCUUUGGAUACUGUCGGGCUUGAGUGCAGGAGAGGUAAGUGGAAUUCCCAGUGUAGCGGUGAAAUGCGUAGAGAUUGGGAGGAACACCAGUGGCGAAGGCGACUUACUGGACUGUAACUGACGCUGAGGCGCGAAAGUGUGGGGAGCAAACAGGAUUAGAUACCCUGGUAGUCCACACUGUAAACGAUGAAUGCUAGGUGUAGGGGGUAUCGACCCCUUCUGUGCCGCAGUCAACACAAUAAGCAUUCCGCCUGGGGAGUACGGCCGCAAGGUUGAAACUUAAAGGAAUUGGCGGGG
RNAcentral lists this ribosomal RNA (397 nucleotides) under uncultured bacterium. RNAcentral's name for it is "partial 16S ribosomal RNA". It matches the Rfam family "Bacterial small subunit ribosomal RNA", at positions 523 to 918 of the family's 1533-position model. The record is from RNAcentral.